CGCGUAGGCGGUUUGAUAAGUGGGAUGUGAAAGCCCUGGGCUCAACCUGGGAACUGCAUUCCAAACUGUCAGACUAGAGUAUGGUAGAGGGUGGUAGAAUUUCCUGUGUAGCGGUGAAAUGCGUAGAUAUAGGAAGGAAUACCGAUGGCGAAGGCAGCCACCUGGACCAAUACUGACGCUGAGGUGCGAAAGCGUGGGGAGCAAACA
RNAcentral lists this ribosomal RNA (207 nucleotides) under uncultured bacterium. RNAcentral describes it as "partial 16S ribosomal RNA". It matches the Rfam family "Bacterial small subunit ribosomal RNA", at positions 568 to 774 of the family's 1533-position model. The record is from RNAcentral.